AACAUAUGGUCUACAUUAACAAGCUGAUUACUCACCAUACUAUUGUGCAUUGGGUUUCCAGGCUAUGAUGCAGAAUCCUCUUUUGCUGUAAGCUUUCUUACAGAUCCAGAAAAACAAAAAUGAUGGUGGGAAGAAUGACUAUCAACAGUGACAAGCUCUCUCACUUUCUGCAUACUUCAGACAAUCUGCAAAAGAAUGAUAAUCAAAGGAUUACAGAAAUCAGAUACAGAAAUCUUUCAAGACCUUUCAACCAGAACGGAUCUAAUAAAGAGACUUGAUCCUGUUUAUAAGCAGGACUCUCUCAUUUUCUUUUGCACUGGUAAUAAACAAACCUAUAGCCAAUUGACUGUACUUAUAGGAGCUGUGGGAACUGUCUGCUCACAUGGACAAGGAUGAAUAUAUUAAUUGCUUAGAAAUAGGCCUCACUGGUGACAUUGCACACACCCAGCUGUUGUAUGAGUCAGCAGAAUAGAAUGAACUGGUGUUAAUGGAUAGAGCAGAGCCUGAAAACCCUGAUAUGAAGAGGCCUCUAGCUUUGUGACCUGAGACAACUGCUUCUCUGAAUGGCCUUCCAGGCUCUGAAGAAUGUGUUCACUGUUGAGUUUUCUCAGUGGUGGAGGAGGAUAUAAAUAUACAUAUAUCUGAUACACUUUACAUCAAAUCUCCGAAGAAGAGAAUGACAGUUGGGGAGUGGCCAUUUGCUGAGAAAGUGACAGUCAUUUGACAAGUAAAUUCUAUGAAGUCACAACUGCAGACACAGAGGUACAGCCAGACACUGACUGUCUUGAAUACACACAGCUCCAUAUAAUCCAUCAGAGAGCAGCAAAUUAAUAAGGUAAUGGACUAUCAUGUUAAAUGGAAGGUGAUCAGAGGACCUGUUUAGAGGAAGAGAAGUCUUUACAGAAAGAGAAUAUAUGAUUGUCCUUACGAACUCUGUGAACUUAGCCACAACAGGAUGUGAUUCUUUUUAAGACUACAGCACCUUUAUUAUUGGCCCUAAAUGCAUGAGAAACUGUAGUCAGGUCUUGAUUUGCUUAGCUAAAAAAAAAUCUUUCCAUUUAAAUACUUGUCAUACACAAUAUGAAAUUGCUACAUUAUUCAUUCAGAAUUCCACAAUCCCCUUUUUAAGUCAGAGUCAUUCCUCAAAGCUAACAGUUUCCUUUUCAGGGAGUUGCACUCACAUUCUUAGUGAGUAGUGGGAAACUACAAACAAUUAAA
This is a non-coding RNA of Meleagris gallopavo (turkey), 1218 nucleotides long. The record is from RefSeq and is a predicted model, not a curated record. Lineage: Eukaryota; Metazoa; Chordata; Aves; Galliformes; Phasianidae.